UACCUGCAGCUCGAGUGGUAACCGCUUUUAUUGGGCCUAAAGCGUCCGUAGCCGGUUUGGUAAAUAUCUGGGUAAAUCGUGAGGCUUAACUUCACGAAUUUCGGAUAGACUGCCAGACUUGGGAUCGGGGGAGGUCAGAGGUACUCCAGGGGUAGCGGUGAAAUGUUGUAAUCCUUGGAGGACCACCGGUAGCGAAGGCGUCUGACUAGAACGAGUCCGACGGUGAGGGACGAAGCCCUGGGGCGCAAACCGGAUUAGAUACCCGGGUAGUCCAGGGUGUAAACAAUGUGGGCUUUGUAUUGGAGGUCCUACGUGGGCGUCCAGUGCAGAAGAGAAGUUGUUAAGCCCACCGCCUGGGAAGUACGGUCGCAAGGCUGAAACUUAAAGGAAUUAGGCGGGGAGCACAGCAACGGGAGGAGCGUGCGGUUU
RNAcentral lists this ribosomal RNA (429 nucleotides) under uncultured archaeon. RNAcentral's name for it is "bacterial SSU rRNA". It matches the Rfam family "Archaeal small subunit ribosomal RNA", at positions 474 to 903 of the family's 1478-position model. The record is from RNAcentral.